UGGCAAGUUUCCUGUGCAGCGGAGGCAGAGCCUGUUGUCCUGGAAUUGGCCAAACAGUUUGGUCUGUCCAGAAACAGUCACAUGGCCUUUGAGUUUGAUGACAGAAAGGUCAAGAAAAGGUGCUGUACAGUAUCAGCGCUUGCAUCAGGAACUUCAAGAUGCUGAAUCUGCCAUUAGACAUGGAGAACCCCACAUCCAGCUACCUCGUGGGCUCCUGUUUUGCCAACCCGGAAAAAGGAACUUAUUUUAAUGCCAAAGCCAAGGGUCUGAAGCAGUUUGGACUGACUAUAAACACAGCGUUUAAAGGAGAAAUGUGAAGAUCACUAAAGCUGGGAAGGUUCUGGAGGUCCAAAUGAACAAAGCCCUGGAGCUCAGAGGAGUUCAACCUGUCACCUGCCCCGCUAACUAUACAUACACACACACACACACACACACACACUCCUCACACCUCUAACCAGAUACAAAGACAAUCUCACCUAUCAGUGAAUGAAUUAAUCAAAAAUAAUAAUAAAUCUACAAGACAAAGUACAGAAACAUUCAGAGAAUGGACUGGAUCUCAAGCUCUAGCACUCACAGCCAAAUAACUCAUAACAAAAAUAGAAACAAACACCUAAACAAGCCAAAGACUUUAGGCUCACAGACAUUUUUCAAUGAAACUAAAUCUAACACUCUUAAAAAGAAAUGUUCCAACAAGGCUUUUACAGUCUGACGUCACAGGAGAACCUACUGAAGUUCCACACAAACUUCUUAUUCUCUAGUUCUUGAGAAAACAUUCUCUAUACUGCUUUAAAGAACCCAGAAACCAAUACACUGAUCUGAGGAAAUAAAACAUUGAGAACUUUUUCCAUCUCCAAAGAACUGUAUAUCAAUUCAAGAACCCUAUACAGCCAAACAUGUUUUUUAUGGAUAACAAGAACCUUUAUUUUAAAGAGUGAAAGGCCUUGAGGAAUCAAAAACAAAUUGCUUAAGACACGCAUCGACAAUGAACUACGUUCACACCGCAAAGCAGCCAAUUCAGAAUUUUUGCUCAAAUCUAUGAGGUUGUUCAUAUGACCUUUAAAAUGUGGCUCAAAUCAGAGACUGGUCUGAAACAGGUGAUGCUCCUAAACUGACCCGCAAGUGUUAAACACC
Molecule: long non-coding RNA, 1131 nt
Organism: Myxocyprinus asiaticus (Chinese sucker)
Lineage: Eukaryota; Metazoa; Chordata; Actinopteri; Cypriniformes; Catostomidae
Exons: 3
Source: RefSeq, a predicted model, not a curated record